AAGGUCUCCGGAUUGUAAACUCCUUUUGGAGGGGAAGAAUGUCUACGUGAAAAACGUAGAGUGACGGUACUCUCUGAAUAAGCCACGGCUAACUACGUGC
RNAcentral lists this ribosomal RNA (100 nucleotides) under uncultured bacterium. RNAcentral describes it as "partial 16S ribosomal RNA". It matches the Rfam family "Bacterial small subunit ribosomal RNA", at positions 411 to 508 of the family's 1533-position model. The record is from RNAcentral.